RNAcentral lists this ribosomal RNA (274 nucleotides) under uncultured bacterium. Its description in RNAcentral is "partial 16S ribosomal RNA". It matches the Rfam family "Bacterial small subunit ribosomal RNA", at positions 523 to 796 of the family's 1533-position model. The record is from RNAcentral.
AUACGGAGGGCGCAAGCGUUGUUCGGAAUCAUUGGGCGUAAAGCGCGUGUAGGCGGCUUGGUAAGUCGGGUGUGAAAUCCCGGGGCUCAACCCCGGAACUGCAUUCGAAACUGCCUCGCUAGAGUCCCGGAGAGGAAGGCGGAAUUCCCAGUGUAGCGGUGAAAUGCGUAGAUAUUGGGAAGAACACCGGUGGCGAAGGCGGCUACCUGGACCGGAACUGACGCUGAGGCGCGAAAGCCAGGGGAGCGAAUGGGAUUAGAAACCCCGGUAGUCC